CCUACGGGAGGCAGCAGUAGGGAAUCUUCCACAAUGGGCGAAAGCCUGAUGGAGCAACGCCGCGUGGGUGAAGAAGGUCUUCGGAUCGUAAAACCCUGUUGUCAGAGAAGAAAGUGAGUGUGCGUAACUGUUCACGUUUCGAUGGUAUCUAACCAGAAAGCCACGGCUAACUACGUGCCAGCAGCCGCGGUAAUACGUAGGUGGCAAGCGUUAUCCGGAUUUAUUGGGCGUAAAGGGAACGCAGGCGGUCUUGUAAGUCUGAUGUGAAAGCCUUCGGCUUAACCGGAGUAGUGCAUUGGAAACUGGGAGACUGGAGUACAGAAGAGGAGAGUGGAACUCCAUGUGUAGCGGUGAAAUGCGUAGAUAUAUGGAAGAACACCAGUGGCGAAAGCGGCUCUCUGGUCUGUAACUGACGCUGAGGUUCGAAAGCGUGGGUAGCAAACAGGAUUAGAUACCCUAGUAGUC
RNAcentral lists this ribosomal RNA (465 nucleotides) under uncultured bacterium. RNAcentral describes it as "partial 16S ribosomal RNA". It matches the Rfam family "Bacterial small subunit ribosomal RNA", at positions 338 to 795 of the family's 1533-position model. The record is from RNAcentral.